AAUCAACGCUGGCGGCGUGCCUAACACAUGCAAGUCGGACGUGAAAGGGGUUUCGGCCCUGAGUAGCGUGGCGGACGGGUGAGGAACGCGUGGGUGACCUGCCCUGCAGAGGGGGAUAACCCUCCGAAAGGGGGGCUAAUACCGCAUGAGCCCGAGAGGGGAAAGACGGUGAGUCGCUGCGGGAGGGGCCUGCGUCCGAUUAGCUGGUUGGUGGGGUAAGAGCCCACCAAGGCGACGAUCGGUAGCCGGUCUGAGAGGAUGAUCAGCCGCACUGGGACUGAGACACGGCCCAGACUCCUACGGGAGGCAGCAGUAGGGAAUAUUGGACAAUGGGGGCAACCCUGAUCCAGCCAUGCCGCGUGAGUGAAGAAGGCCCUCGGGUUGUAAAGCUCUUUUGUUGGGGAAGAAAAGCAUUUGGUUAAUACCCGAAUGUUCUGACGGUACCCAAAGAAUAAGCACCGGCUAACUUCGUG
This 473-nucleotide ribosomal RNA is filed under the name uncultured bacterium. RNAcentral's name for it is "bacterial SSU rRNA". It matches the Rfam family "Bacterial small subunit ribosomal RNA", at positions 29 to 507 of the family's 1533-position model. The record is from RNAcentral.